AUGUGCCCCACGCACUAUUGCGGUCUAACGUUGCACGCGCUGCUAAGGCUUUCGCCUUGCACGCUGCCAUAUCACAACGCCCUUCUUGAGCCGCCCACAGCCUCCUACCUCUGUACGGCUCUUAUGGGUAACACCCCUGACCAUUCACCAUUUGUGUUAUAUUUAUCAUCAUUUAAACGUCAAAAAUCAAGUGAAAUGUAUUACUUGUGUCUUAAUUCUUAG
Molecule: non-coding RNA, 222 nt
Organism: Vicia faba (fava bean)
Lineage: Eukaryota; Viridiplantae; Streptophyta; Magnoliopsida; Fabales; Fabaceae
Source: the annotation of a GenBank genome assembly